GAUGAACGCUGGCGGCGUGCCUAAUACAUGCAAGUCGAGCGAACAGAUGAGGAGCUUGCUCCUCUGACGUUAGCGGCGGACGGGUGAGUAACACGUGGAUAACCUACCUAUAAGACUGGGAUAACUUCGGGAAACCGGAGCUAAUACCGGAUAAUAUAUUGAACCGCAUGGUUCAAUAGUGAAAGACGGUUUUGCUGUCACUUAUAGAUGGAUCCGCGCCGUAUUAGAUAGUUGGUAAGGUAACGGCCUACCAAGGCAACGAUGCGUAGCCGACCUGAGAGAGUGAUCGGCGACACUGGAACUGAGACACGGUCCAGACUCCUACGGGAGGCAGCAGUAGGGAAUCUUCCGCAAUGGGCGAAAGCCUGACGGAGCAACGCCGCGUGAGUGAUGAAGGUCCUCGGAUCGUAAAACUCUGUUAUUAGGGAAGAACAAAUGUGUAAGGAAAUAUGCACGUCUUGACGGUACCUAAUCAGAAAGCCACGGCUAACUACGUG
This 497-nucleotide ribosomal RNA is filed under the name uncultured bacterium. RNAcentral describes it as "partial 16S ribosomal RNA". It matches the Rfam family "Bacterial small subunit ribosomal RNA", at positions 28 to 507 of the family's 1533-position model. The record is from RNAcentral.